Molecule: ribosomal RNA, 301 nt
Filed under: uncultured bacterium
Lineage: Bacteria
Description: partial 16S ribosomal RNA
Rfam family: Bacterial small subunit ribosomal RNA
Source: RNAcentral
CAGCAGCCGCGGGAAUACGAAGGGGGCUAGCGUUGUUCGGAAUUACUGGGCGUAAAGCGUGCGCGGGCGGUUUUGUAAGAUAGGCGUGAAAUCCCCGGGCUCAACCUGGGAAUGGCGCUUGUGACUGCAAAGCUAGAGUGCGGCAGAGGGGGAUGGAAUUCCGCGUGUAGCAGUGAAAUGCGUAGAUAUGCGGAGGAACACCGAUGGCGAAGGCAAUCCCCUGGGCCUGCACUGACGCUCAUGCACGAAAGCAUGGGGAGCAAACAGGAUUAGAUACCCGCGUAGUCCCUGUCUCUUAUAC